RNAcentral lists this ribosomal RNA (700 nucleotides) under uncultured bacterium. RNAcentral's name for it is "bacterial SSU rRNA". It matches the Rfam family "Bacterial small subunit ribosomal RNA", at positions 42 to 739 of the family's 1533-position model. The record is from RNAcentral.
UCAGGCCUAACACAUGCAAGUCGAACGGUAACAUUUCUAGCUUGCUAGAAGAUGACGAGUGGCGGACGGGUGAGUAAUGCUUGGGAACUUGCCUUUGCGAGGGGGAUAACAGUUGGAAACGACUGCUAAUACCGCAUAAUGUCUACGGACCAAACGGGGCUUCGGCUCCGGCGCAAAGAGAGGCCCAAGUGAGAUUAGCUAGUUGGUAAGGUAACGGCUUACCAAGGCGACGAUCUCUAGCUGUUCUGAGAGGAAGAUCAGCCACACUGGGACUGAGACACGGCCCAGACUCCUACGGGAGGCAGCAGUGGGGAAUAUUGCACAAUGGGGGAAACCCUGAUGCAGCCAUGCCGCGUGUGUGAAGAAGGCCUUCGGGUUGUAAAGCACUUUCAGUUGUGAGGAAAAGUUAGUAGUUAAUACCUGCUAGCCGUGACGUUAACAACAGAAGAAGCACCGGCUAACUCCGUGCCAGCAGCCGCGGUAAUACGGAGGGUGCGAGCGUUAAUCGGAAUUACUGGGCGUAAAGCGCACGCAGGCGGUUUGUUAAGCUAGAUGUGAAAGCCCCGGGCUCAACCUGGGAUGGUCAUUUAGAACUGGCAGACUAGAGUCUUGGAGAGGGGAGUGGAAUUCCAGGUGUAGCGGUGAAAUGCCUAGAUAUCUGGAGGAACAUCAGUGGCGAAGGCGACUCCCUGGCCAAUGU